Non-coding RNA from Podospora fimiseda, 103 nucleotides. The record is from the annotation of a GenBank genome assembly. NCBI's taxonomy places the organism in Eukaryota, Fungi, Ascomycota, Sordariomycetes, Sordariales, Podosporaceae.
GUCCUCGUAGCACAGUGGUUAACACUUGAUGCUCUUUCAGGGUUUGACUUUCCCGAACCACCUAAGACACCAGGAGACGUUGGUUCGAACCCGACCGAGGACA